This 46-nucleotide non-coding RNA is filed under the name Trichobilharzia regenti. The record is from RNAcentral. Lineage: Eukaryota; Metazoa; Platyhelminthes; Trematoda; Strigeidida; Schistosomatidae.
GUACUGCUGAAGAGUCCCAAAGUAGGACGAAAGAGCUGUCCGGUAC